Molecule: ribosomal RNA, 599 nt
Filed under: Lactobacillus sp. AB511-2
Lineage: Bacteria; Bacillati; Bacillota; Bacilli; Lactobacillales; Lactobacillaceae
Description: bacterial SSU rRNA
Rfam family: Bacterial small subunit ribosomal RNA
Source: RNAcentral
AGAGUUUGAUCAUGGCUCAGGAUGAACGCCGGCGGUGUGCCUAAUACAUGCAAGUCGAACGCGUUGGCCCAACUGAUUGGACGUGCUUGCACGGACUUGACGUUGGUUUACCAGCGAGUGGCGGACGGGUGAGUAACACGUAGGUAACCUGCCCCAAAGCGGGGGAUAACAUUUGGAAACAGAUGCUAAUACCGCAUAACAAUUUGAAUCGCAUGAUUCAAAUUUAAAAGAUGGCCUCGGCUAUCACUUUGGGAUGGACCUGCGGCGCAUUAGCUUGUUGGUAGGGUAACGGCCUACCAAGGCUGUGAUGCGUAGCCGAGUUGAGAGACUGAUCGGCCACAAUGGAACUGAGACACGGUCCAUACUCCUACGGGAGGCAGCAGUAGGGAAUCUUCCACAAUGGGCGCAAGCCUGAUGGAGCAACACCGCGUGAGUGAAGAAGGGUUUCGGCUCGUAAAGCUCUGUUGUUAGAGAAGAACGUGCGUGAUAGCAACUGUUCACGCAGUGACGGUAUCUAACCAAAAAGUCACGGCUAACUACGUGCCAGCAGCCGCGGUAAUACGUAGGUGGCAAUCGUUAUCCGGAUAUAUGGUUUCUCA